Non-coding RNA from Xyrichtys novacula (pearly razorfish), 99 nucleotides. NCBI's taxonomy places the organism in Eukaryota, Metazoa, Chordata, Actinopteri, Labriformes, Labridae. The record is from the annotation of a GenBank genome assembly.
GCACCUUCAUAGCUCAGUUGGUAGAGCACAUGACUUUAAGAAGUUCCUGAAAAGCUGUGGUCCAAAUGGUCGCUGGUUCAACUCCAGCUCCAAUCACCG